This is an RNA transcript of Rhinopithecus roxellana (golden snub-nosed monkey), 377 nucleotides long. It is a transcript of the gene named 40S ribosomal protein S15a pseudogene, with no coding region annotated. NCBI's taxonomy places the organism in Eukaryota, Metazoa, Chordata, Mammalia, Primates, Cercopithecidae. The record is from RefSeq and is a predicted model, not a curated record. The transcript has a single exon.
UAAGCCACAACAGUGCGCAUGAAUGUCCUGGCUGAUGCUCUCAAGAGCAUCAACAAUGCCGAAAAGAGAGGCAAACACCAGGUGCUUAUUAGGCCGUGCUCCAAAGUCAUCGUCCGGUUUCUCACUGUGAUGAUGAAGCAUGGCAGGCUAAACAAGUGUGGAGUGAUCAGCCCCAGAUUUGAUGUGCAACUCAAAGAUCUAGAAAAAUGGCAGAAUAACCUGCUUCCAUCCCGCCAGCUUGGUUUCAUUGUACUGACAACCUCAGCUGGCAUCAUGGACCAUGAAGAAGCAAGACGAAAACACACAGGAGGGAAAAUCCUGGGAUUCUUUUUCUAGGGAUGUAAUACAUACAUUUACAAAUAAAAUGCCUCAUGGAC